GAUGCCUGGCGCUGAUGUACACUUAUCUGCUGUGUGGCCUGGGGCAAGUCACUUGACCUCCCCUGAGCUUCAGAUUUUGCAAAUCUGAAAGGGAUGGUAAUGGGUAGAGAGCCCUCGGCGUGGUGGCAGCACCACAUAGGGACCCCAACGGUGGCAGCGCUUCUGACUCCUGAACCCCUCUAGAGCUCAGUUUUUCUGUCUGUAAUCUGACAGGGUUUAUCUAGAACAGUGGUUCUAGACUGAUUUUACACCCCCCAACCCCAGAAGACAUUUUGGUUGUCACAACUGGUGAGGGGUAGGAGGGGAAGUGCCGCUGACAUCGAGUGGGCGGAGACCAGAGAUGCUGCUAAACAUCCCACGGUGCACAGCCCCCCAGCAAAGAAGGAUGGGCCCCAGAUGUCAAUAGGGCCACUGCUGGGAAACCCUACACUGAGAUCACCUCUAGAUUUCCCUGCAGCUCUAGAUGAUAUUUGGGCUUGCUCUGCAUUGCCUCGUGCUGGGAAAGGCGUUCUGGGCACGCAGUGUGCAGCCCCCCACCUGGGCCCAGAACCCCUCCUUAUCUGGCCUCAAAGAGCCCGCUCAGCCCAGGGCCGGCUUUUUGCCUGCUGUGGGACGGCUUUCCCUGCUUCACCUGGCCCACCCCACUGCCGCAUCAGUCCCCUGUGGGGAGGGGACAGGAUCCUUCCUUCCGUGAUGCAAGGAAGGUGCUCAUCGGCUGCCAGGGAGGCUCCAUGGGCCACGGGCGCCCCAACCCCACUUGCAGAAGCUGGAGCGUUGUCCUGUCCAGCGCUCAGCCUGCCAUCUACACACCACCGCAGCCCCAGUUGGGACUCGAACCCAGUGGUAGGCCUCAACCACUGCGCCGCGCUGACGCUGGUGGAUCCCUCCCCACCCAGCUGCAGCCGACUGAGGAGUCCCUUCCCAGCAAGCAGGUCUGUGUUUGCCUUUGGCCGGGGGAGAAUCAACAGGCCUCGGUACGGUACGUUAGUCCAAAGCCCAGUACCUUAGUCAGGACUCAUCCAGCUGCAAAGAACCGAAUCCUACUGAGAUUAGUUGAUGCCAAACAGAACCUAUUGUUUGGCGUCGCUGAAGAGUUGGGAACGGAACAGCUUCAGGCACGGCUGAAUCCAGGGGCUCAGGCAGGGUGGUCCGGCGCUGUCUCCAUCUCUAGGCCCUGCUUCCCUGUGUGUUGCCUUCAUUCUCAGGUGGGCUCUCUCCACCUGCUGGCAAAGAUGGUGCCCCUCAGCCCCAGGCUUCUAUCCCACCAGCCUGAUAGAGAUUUCCUCUUCAAAAAUUCUAGCCACACUCUCGGGGUUGAGUCUCACUGGCUCAGCGUGGGUCCCAUGCCCAUUACUGAAGCCAUCACUAUGGCCAGCCUUGGUCAUGUGCAUAACUCGGCCCCCGGCGCCUGGGGUGAGGCUGGGAAGAAGGGAGUUUUGGCAAAGAUGGUGAGAGAUGCUGUCUACACCCAGAGGAGGCGUCUACAUCGCCCUCCGGAGGCUGGCUGUCCGACAGAGGCCUGUGGCCGUGGUGGAUGGGUGGGGGCUUCUGAGUGGCAAAACCCUGCCCCCCUGGCAAAGAGGCUCGGAUUCCAAUUUUGUCAGACUUAGAACAGUUAAGUAAUGAGAUCAUUCUCGCAAGUCUUAUGAAACAAAUUCAUACCAUUAGCGGGGAGCAAGUCCUAAAUUCUAGAACUUGCCUCAGUCACCUCCGUCUCUAGAACUUUUAGGGACGUGGCUAAGCACAUAGGAUCUGGAGUCGAUCUCUUGGUAGGAACCCUGGCUCUGCCACAGACCAGCCGUGUGACCUUGGGACAGUCACCCAACCUCCCUGAGCCUCCAUUCCCUCAUCUGACUGACGGAAGCCGGACAUUUCCUGCCCCACGGGACCCCUGCGAGGAUUGCGCGAAGCUCUGAGGGCUUGGGUGACGUGCCCGUGUUCUCUGGGCGAGGGUUGGCACCAGCUUGGCUCACCCCACCUUCUAGGCUCAUUCUGUCCCCAGCACCGUCAUCGCACAGGGCCGUGCCGACCUUCAUAGAGUCUUAUCCACUGCUUUGCUUCCUCCCUCUAAGCCCCAAGCAUGUUCCUCUUCUGGCAAAUUCCUAGAACCCUCACCGCGGAACUGCAUGGGAUGAGGGUUCUGGGAAACUGAUUUCCAGCAUAAUUGAGUGGAUGCGGCACCCUUGUCCCCUGCACACCCCCACCCCCAGGUCCUCUGGUCAGAGCCAGGCAGCUGGGGACCUUGGCUCCUCCUCCCAGAAGCCGCUCAUCUCCUUCCUCGCUGGUCUCCAGCAGAAUUCCAACAGGGUGAGGGUGGAAACUUGGCUUCCUAAGGCCUGACCUCAAAAUUUGCAGGGUCACUUCUGCUGUGUUCUGCGGGUCACAGCAGGUCACCCAGGCCAGCCCGGAUUUGAGGGAUGAGGAAACAAAUUGCGUCUCUUGAUGGUAAAAGUCACAAAAUACUGUGACCAUGUUUGUCAAUCGUAAGACACCUACCGUCAUUAUUGGAAGUUUGUUAUGAUAAAUAUAUUUAUGGACAAUGACAGUGAAUUUAAAGGGACCCCCCCCCCCCCACUGAGAUGUGCAGUGCACAAUCUGUGCAACUGUCAGGAUGGCCCUGCUGAUGCCGUGGGAUUCUGUGUUCUCGCUGAACCUCACUGUGGUAGGCAUCUGGAGCUUUUGAAUGCCCAGUGUGCAGCACUCCUUUUGGGGAUAGUCACUCCCCAUCCAUCCCCACCUCUAUUUUGGAGGGGCCGACCCUCCCAAGGUCCAGGUGGGGGCAUGCAAUCAGGAACUCUAUCAUUCUAACCAUAGGGAUUGGGCAAAGGAUGGAUUUAUGAUCCAUGCUUGGACCAAUGAGAUUCAUAGGUCUUUUGCCAAAAGGGUUAGGAAAAAGGUUCUCUGUUUCCACCUUUUUUGGGUUGCUUGGCUGAUUGGAGGCCUGGAACUGCUGGAGAUCAUCUUUGCAAUGAGAAUGAGAAUGAAGCAGUCAGAGUGGAGAGCUGAGUCACGAGAUAGAGAGGGAGGGAGAGAGAGAGAGAGAGAGAGAUUCCUGAUGACAACAUUUAGACUCCUCGAUCCAGCCAUGCCUGAAGUCCUUACUGUGGACUUUCCAUUUAUGGAACCCAAUAAAUUCCCUUUGGUGUCAGUUUCUAUCCCUUGCAACCAAAAGCCAUCUUAAUGAUACGAUGCUCUACGGCUAUUUGGGUCACAACGAGGAUUAAAUGAGCUGACGAUAUAUAUGGAAUGCACGGCUCAUGGGGGCCCGUGAAAGGCAAGCUCCCAGGUAUCUCUCUUCUCCUCCCCUCUAGUGGAUAUAGCUCCGACCUAAAACCUACUAAAAGCAUUAAACCCGUUGAGAACAGGCAUGGAUGGGUUUGUCUGGUUGUGGAACAAUGAACGCGCAAAAGCAAAACUUCACACUGCCGCCUGCACGCUCGACACCCCGUGUUCUUAAUUUAAAUUCUGAAAAGGCGACAGAGAAGCCACGGCUGUAAAUAACCGCGUGAAAUGAUGCAAAAACAAUCUCAAGAGACACCCUUUGUGUUUUCCCUGCGAGAGGACAGCCGUGGGGCAGUGCGGAGACAUGGAAAUCUGUAAAGACGGUCUUCUCCAUCUGCUCAGGAUUAAAAAGAAGUUCGCAAG
This is a long non-coding RNA of Canis lupus familiaris (dog), 3645 nucleotides long. RefSeq lists it as uncharacterized. The transcript has 3 exons. NCBI's taxonomy places the organism in Eukaryota, Metazoa, Chordata, Mammalia, Carnivora, Canidae. The record is from RefSeq and is a predicted model, not a curated record.